AGUGAACGCUGGCGGUAGGCCUAACACAUGCAAGUCGAACGGCAGCACAGUAAGAGCUUGCUCUUACGGGUGGCGAGUGGCGGACGGGUGAGGAAUACAUCGGAAUCUACUUUUUCGUGGGGGAUAACGUAGGGAAACUUACGCUAAUACCGCAUACGACCUACGGGUGAAAGCAGGGGAUCUUCGGACCUUGCGCGAUUGAAUGAGCCGAUGUCGGAUUAGCUAGUUGGCGGGGUAAAGGCCCACCAAGGCGACGAUCCGUAGCUGGUCUGAGAGGAUGAUACGCCACACUGGAACUGGGACACGGUCCAGAAUCCUACGGGAGGCAGCAGUGGGGAAUAUUGGACAAUGGGCGCAAGCCUGAUCCAGCCAUACCGCGUGGGUGAAGAAGGCCUUCGGGUUGUAAAGCCCUUUUGUUGGGAAAGAAAAGCAGCAGGUUAAUACACCGCUUUUCUGACGGUACCCAAAGAAUAAGCACCGGCUAACUUCGUG
Molecule: ribosomal RNA, 492 nt
Filed under: uncultured bacterium
Lineage: Bacteria
Description: partial 16S ribosomal RNA
Rfam family: Bacterial small subunit ribosomal RNA
Source: RNAcentral